UUGGAGGAUACAUCGUACGGUAACACAUACAUAAUAUACAAGAUCCUGUAUACAGAAAAUAUAUCUCAGAUUUCUGCUCUUUAGAUCGUGCGGGCGGGGGUGGCGCAAGGCGUUUUCUAUGGGUAUACACAGCGCACAGCUACCGUUAUACCUGUACGAGAAAACGUGGAUUACAGUACACGUAAACGUAUUUUGUUACUUCGUUGAAAAGGUCUGCGGCGCGGCGGCGGCGGCGGCGGCGGCGGCGGCGAUACGUGUUAAGUUUUUCGUUGUUCAGGUGUGCGCGAGGUAUCGAGAUGUGUUUCACGUAUUCAAUAUAGGAGCUUGUUCUGCCCGCCAUUGACGUAUCGAGCAUUUAUUAUACACAAUGCAGCGUUCAACGGCGAAUAAGAGCAGCUCCAAAGGGAGGAUUUCGAGUCCACCACAAACCCGAGUCUGGUUACGCCUAUACGACAACGACAAACACUCCUCUGCUUCGGUGACGACGCCACGCCUUGGUUUCGGCACGAUUUCCAUAGAUCCUCUCGCUUCAAUCUCGGCACGUUCGAGAUGCUACCUAGUGGAAGGUCAGCGGGGUUCAUCGUAUGAGGCGUAGCGCUGGCCGUACGGGGGCUCGAGGAAACUACCCGCUUUACGGAUCCGAUGAUUUUCAUUACUACCGUGAAAAUUUGUAGAACUUGAUCAGCGAUUCACAAUGAAAAAAUUCAAUUGUGAAAUAUUGAGAAUUUUCUUAUAUCAUGGAUCAGUUUUCGGUACGUUUUUGAAAAUAUCAUCAUUGUUUUUGAAGAUACGAGGCGUGAAGGCUAAGAGAAACUUUACGAACACAAACUGUAAUUAAUAUGGUUUA
Athalia rosae (coleseed sawfly) is the source of this 847-nucleotide long non-coding RNA. RefSeq lists it as uncharacterized. The transcript is spliced from 3 exons. Lineage: Eukaryota; Metazoa; Arthropoda; Insecta; Hymenoptera; Athaliidae. The record is from RefSeq and is a predicted model, not a curated record.